RNAcentral lists this transfer RNA (74 nucleotides) under Salvia splendens (bonfire salvia). It matches the Rfam family "tRNA". Rfam says of the family: Transfer RNA (tRNA) molecules are approximately 80 nucleotides in length. Their secondary structure includes four short double-helical elements and three loops (D, anti-codon, and T loops). Lineage: Eukaryota; Viridiplantae; Streptophyta; Magnoliopsida; Lamiales; Lamiaceae. The record is from Rfam by way of RNAcentral.
GGCCUAUUAGCUCAGUUGGUUAGAGCGUCGUGCUAAUAACGUGAAGGUCGCAGGUUAGAAACCUGCAUGGGCCA